This 408-nucleotide unclassified non-coding RNA is filed under the name Hevea brasiliensis (rubber tree). The record is from RNAcentral. Lineage: Eukaryota; Viridiplantae; Streptophyta; Magnoliopsida; Malpighiales; Euphorbiaceae.
GGGGUUUCCAUCUUGAGAAGCGGCGAAUUUGGGAGGGGGAAGACGGUCCUUGACGGCCGGGGGGAAUCUAGCAGUGAAAUCUCUUAAGGGAAACUCACGGUCGUCACGGCAGUCGUUCUCAAAAUUGAGGGCAUAACUGGAAGAAUCGUAGGAAAAGUCGAGGGAGGCAAGGUACUUCUUCCGGCGGCGAGCUAUCCGAGCUAGGAGAUACCGGCAGCGGUGAAGUAACUCCGACAGUUCAGCGGCGGUGGAUUUGAACCAAGAACACGGGGCUGUUGUGGACGCCUUGGAAGGAGAGUGGAGAAAAUGGGUGUGGAAACAGCAGAAGGAGGAUUUGAGGUUGUGAGGGGAAGAAGGAGAGUGAUGAAAAUGGGGUAACAUUGCAAGGAAUAAGGAUUUGGUUUUUUU